Molecule: ribosomal RNA, 498 nt
Filed under: uncultured bacterium
Lineage: Bacteria
Description: partial 16S ribosomal RNA
Rfam family: Bacterial small subunit ribosomal RNA
Source: RNAcentral
AUUGAACGCUGGCGGCAUGCCUUACACAUGCAAGUCGAACGGUAACAGGUCUUCGGAUGCUGACGAGAGGCGAACGGGUGAGUAAUACAUCGGAACGUGCCUAGUAGUGGGGGAUAACUACUCGAAAGAGUGGCUAAUACCGCAUGAGAUCUACGGAUGAAAGCAGGGGAUCGCAAGACCUUGUGCUACUAGAGCGGCCGAUGGCAGAUUAGGUAGUUGGUGGGAUAAAAGCUUACCAAGCCGACGAUCUGUAGCUGGUCUGAGAGGACGAUCAGCCACACUGGGACUGAGAAACGGCCCAGACGCCUACGGGAGGCGGCAGUGGGGAAUUUUGGACAAUGGGCGCAAGCCUGAUCCAGCAAUGCCGCGUGCAGGAUGAAGGCCUUCGGGUUGUAAACUGCUUUUGUACGGAACGAAAAGCCCUGGGUUAAUACCCUGGGGUCAUGACGGUACCGUAAGAAUAAGCACCGGCUAACUACGUGCCAGCCGCCGCCGUAA